Molecule: ribosomal RNA, 468 nt
Filed under: uncultured bacterium
Lineage: Bacteria
Description: partial 16S ribosomal RNA
Rfam family: Bacterial small subunit ribosomal RNA
Source: RNAcentral
GACGAACGCUGGCGGCGUGCUUAACACAUGCAAGUCGAACGGAAAGGCCCUGCUUUUGUGGGGUGCUCGAGUGGCGAACGGGUGAGUAACACGUGAGUAACCUGCCCUUGACUUUGGGAUAACUUCAGGAAACUGGGGCUAAUACCGGAUAGGAGCUCCUGCUGCAUGGUGGGGGUUGGAAAGUUUCGGCGGUUGGGGAUGGACUCGCGGCUUAUCAGCUUGUUGGUGGGGUAGUGGCUUACCAAGGCUUUGCCGGGUAGCCGGCCUGAGAGAGUGACCGGCCACAUGGGGACUGAGAGACGGCCCAGACUGCUACGGGAGGCAGCAGUGGGGAAUAUUGCACAAUGGGCGGAAGCCUGAUGCAGCAACGCCGCGUGCGGGAUGACGGCCUUCGGGUUGUAAACCGCUUUCGCCUGUGACGAAGCGUGAGUGACGGUAAUGGGUAAAGAAGCACCGGCUAACUACGUG